This 468-nucleotide ribosomal RNA is filed under the name uncultured bacterium. Its description in RNAcentral is "partial 16S ribosomal RNA". It matches the Rfam family "Bacterial small subunit ribosomal RNA", at positions 28 to 507 of the family's 1533-position model. The record is from RNAcentral.
GACGAACGCUGGCGGCGUGCUUAACACAUGCCAGUCGAACGGAAAGGCCCUGCUUUUGUGGGGUGCUCGAGUGGCGAACGGGUGAGUAACACGUGAGUAACCUGCCCUUGACUUUGGGAUAACUUCAGGAAGCUGGGGCUAAUACCGGAUAGGAGCUCCUGCUGCAUGGUGGGGGUUGGAAAGUUUCGGCGGUUGGGGAUGGACUCGCGGCUUAUCAGCUUGUUGGUGGGGUAGUGGCUUACCAAGGCUUUGACGGGUAGCCGGCCUGAGAGGGUGACCGGCCACAUUGGGACUGAGAUACGGCCCAGACUCCUACGGGAGGCAGCAGUGGGGAAUAAUGCACAAUGGGCGGAAGCCUGAUGCAGCAACGCCGCGUGCGGGAUGACGGCCUUCGGGUUGUAAACCGCUUUCGCCUGUGACGAAGCGUGAGUGACGGUAAUGGGUAAAGAAGCACCGGCUAACUACGUG